CAAUAGCGUAUAUUAAAGUUGUUGCGGUUAAAAAGCUCGUAGUUGGAUUUCUGCUGAGGACGACCGGUCCGCCCUCCGGGUGAGCAUCUGGUUCGGCCUUGGCAUCUUCUUGGUGAACGUAUCUGCACUUGACUGUGUGGUGCGGUACCCAGGACUUUUACUUUGAAAAAAUUAGAGUGUUCAAAGCAGGCCAACGCAUUGAAUACAUUAGCAUGGAAUAAUGGAAUAGGACUUUGGUCUUAUUUUGUUGGUUUCUAAGGCCGAGGUAAUGAUUAAUAGGGAUAGUUGGGGGCGUUUAUAUUCCGUUGUCAGAGGUGAAAUUCUUGGAUUUACGGAAGAUAAACUACUGCGAAAGCAUUCGCCAAGGAUGUUUUCAUUAAUCAAGAACGAAAGUUAGGGGAUCGAAGAUGAUUAGG
RNAcentral lists this ribosomal RNA (416 nucleotides) under uncultured eukaryote. RNAcentral describes it as "bacterial SSU rRNA". It matches the Rfam family "Eukaryotic small subunit ribosomal RNA", at positions 592 to 1012 of the family's 1831-position model. The record is from RNAcentral.